GAGGAGAUUUCCUGUCUCAGUGAGUUGAUCGGUGAGCUGGAGGGGAAGUGUCAGAAGCCAGCAAGUGAAUUCCUGCAGGAUGUCAAAAGCACCUUAAGCAGGUGUGAGAAGAGGAAGUUCCAGCAGCCAGAGGAGAUUUCUCCUGAACUGAAAGAGCAAGUCAGCGAUUUCUCCCAGAAAACUAUUGUGCUAUCGGCGACUCUGAGGAAAUGCAAAGGUACCUAAAAUGGGUCUAAGAAUGGAAAUUGGGAUGAACCUCUAAGACUGUGGGAAGAGAAUGGUGCUGG
Molecule: long non-coding RNA, 287 nt
Organism: Chelonoidis abingdonii (Abingdon island giant tortoise)
Lineage: Eukaryota; Metazoa; Chordata; Testudines; Testudinidae
Source: Ensembl